This 334-nucleotide ribosomal RNA is filed under the name uncultured bacterium. Its description in RNAcentral is "bacterial SSU rRNA". It matches the Rfam family "Bacterial small subunit ribosomal RNA", at positions 30 to 366 of the family's 1533-position model. The record is from RNAcentral.
AUUGAACGCUGGCGGCAUGCCUUACACAUGCAAGUCGAACGGCAGCGGACCUUCGGGUGCCGGCGAGUGGCGAACGGGUGAGUAAUAUAUCGGAACGUACCUUUCAGUGGGGGAUAACGUAGCGAAAGUUACGCUAAUACCGCAUAUUCUGUGAGCAGGAAAGCAGGGGAUCGCAAGACCUUGCGCUGAUUGAGCGGCCGAUAUCAGAUUAGCUAGUUGGUGAGGUAAAGGCUCACCAAGGCGACGAUCUGUAGCGGGUCUGAGAGGAUGAUCCGCCACACUGGAACUGAGACACGGUCCAGACUCCUACGGGAGGCAGCAGUGGGGAAUUUCG